GACGAACGCUGGCGGCGUGCUUAACACAUGCAAGUCGAGCGGUAAGGCCCUUUCGGGGGUACGACGAGCGGCGAACGGGUAGAGUAACACGUGGGUGACCUGCCCUUAGCUCUGGGAUAAGCCUGGGAAACUGGGUCUAAUACCGGAUAUGACUCCAUGACGCAUGUUGUGGGGUGGAAAGCCUUGUGCGGCUAGGGAUGGGCCUGCGGCCUAUCAGCUUGUUGGGUGGGGUGAUGGCCUACCAAGGCGACGACGGGUAGCCGGCCUGAGAGGGCGACCGGCCACACUGGGACUGAGACACGGCCCAGACUCCUACGGGAGGCAGCAGUGGGGAAUCUUGCGCAAU
RNAcentral lists this ribosomal RNA (346 nucleotides) under uncultured bacterium. Its description in RNAcentral is "bacterial SSU rRNA". It matches the Rfam family "Bacterial small subunit ribosomal RNA", at positions 28 to 372 of the family's 1533-position model. The record is from RNAcentral.